This 1163-nucleotide long non-coding RNA is filed under the name Homo sapiens (human). RNAcentral's name for it is "HSALNT0351132". The record is from RNAcentral. Lineage: Eukaryota; Metazoa; Chordata; Mammalia; Primates; Hominidae.
UGGUCCCACAGGCAAUGUUCCUCUUCUGAGACCCCUCCUAUCUAUCUGCCUAACCAGCCUCUACCUGCCUCCUCUCUCAUUCCAGUGGUGACCCUAAUUGCCAUUAGAGGGAGAGGGUAGAUGACCGCUCAGGCUUCUUCAAGCUGUGAGAGGGCAUUGUUACUGUGGCAGUAAGGGAUCCUCCAGAGGAUGGUCUAAUGGGCCUGAGAGGAAGGGUUCUUUCACACAGGGUUCCAUCUGCAUCAUGAUCUGGAGUUUGAUGGCCUCUAUGCAAGAAGAAACAAAUUUGGCUAAAAGAUGUAACACACAUGGUCCAAAAACCAGGAUAUUUCAUGAAGAAUAUACAGCAGAUAAUUCAUUCUGUUAAGGAGAUUAGCAGAUAUAUCCACUUCCUAAGGUAGCUGUGUAAGAGCAUCAUCCAGUGUUCAGAUCGUGCAGACUCCUGAAGUGCUGAUAUCCUAUGCUAAACGAGACCUCUGCAGACUUGAGAAUACGACACGGAGACAGAAGAAAAACAGAAUCAGAAGCAAAGCUGGAUAAUGAAUGGAAAUAGAAGUGGACAGAAGUGGAGAAAGAUGAGAUAGAUCACCAGAGAAAAGAGCAGAGGAUACAGACUUCUGAGGUAUAACCAAGACAACCAGAUCACAUGAGCUUCUGUAACUUUCCACAACUGCUUUUGUUGUAUCUUCUUAUCCAAGGAUUCAUCUACUGUUUCAUUACUUUAUUGGAACUUUGUGUUCCCCCCAAAUGAAUGUGUUUGCUUCCUCAGAUUCAAGCAUAUCGCCUUACGAUGUUCCCCCUUACCAGAGUAUAAGCUGUUACUAAGUUUUAUAAGAGCAGAGACCAAGGCUGUAUCUGUUUUAUUCUGCACCAUGUAUUCAGUUUGGCACAGAACCUGGCUCAUAGUUGGCUGAAAUACAUGACAAUGAAUGAAGGAGUGAAAUUAAAAUAACAGACAUAGUAAAUUACAUUUACACAAAGAAAUAUUUUGAUAAAUUAUCAGUCCAAUCUCAUUUUGACUCCAUGCAGACACACACACACACACACACACACACACACACACACACCUAUUUUUCCCUUUAUUUUAAAAAAUUCUAAAUGAGAGAAGUGAUUCUGAUAGUCGACUAGGGAACAAAAGACACAUUUACUUAUUCAGAUUCGUG